Molecule: long non-coding RNA, 3505 nt
Filed under: Olea europaea subsp. europaea
Lineage: Eukaryota; Viridiplantae; Streptophyta; Magnoliopsida; Lamiales; Oleaceae
Source: RNAcentral
AGUAUUGCAGCAGCAAUGUCUUACUCUGUCAUUUUGGGAGACUUGUUCCAUUGUAUGAUUGUAAUAAAUGAUGGUUGAAUUUCAGAGCUACAAGGAUUUGACUGGAACUGCAUGGUCUUAUGCAUAUUUCAUCAGCUUCUAUCUUAUUACAAUCGUACUACUACUGAAUUUGGUAAGUUGUAGCUAAUUUAGAGUCCUUUUCUAUGUCUUCUGUCAAUUGAAAUAAUUAGUAUCACUGACAAGUCUGCGUGCUUGUGUUUCUCAUAUUAAAACUCAAACAUAUUCUAAAGAACCAGUGUAUGUUUGGAAUAGUACAAACAUAUAACAGGAAGAACUCUUCACAUUGCAUAUAAAAUCUAGAACUUCUUGGAUAACAAUUUAUUUGCUUACACAGAUCUAUAUACUUCUAUGCAUCAAUUUGUUCUUAAUUGCUCCCUCCUGUAAAUGAUGUGGACUUUAGCUAAUGUGAUUAUAUAGUCAGGUGGAUAUAGACGGAAAAAAAAGACAAAUGGAUUAAAACAAAUUACAGGACUAGCAUCGAAGUUCGAAAUUUCAUUUAACAGCCAUCGACAAGGAUUUUGUUAUUUAGUCAUGUGCACCAGUUUCAGAUAAUUUCUUUAUUGAGGUUGAGCAUGUUUGUCUAAGCUAAAACUAAGCAAAACUUACUUUUAAGUUAUUUUUAUUUUCAAACACAUUUGGACGGUAUUCUUUUCUUACCUAUGAGUAAAAAAAAUUAUAUAUAUAUAUAUAUUUUUUUUUUUUUAACGAUAAUGUGGGUUGCUUUCAAAAUAAGCUACUUGCUUAUUUCCAACUUUGUCCAAUAAAAAUAUAUUUACCCUUUUAAUCUUAGCCAAACACAAACUUAGCUGAGUUAAAAGUAUAACGAUUAUUUUUCUUUAGUUUAGAAUGAUUAACCAUGUAAAUAGAUAGUACAUUCAUUUUAGACCAUGAUAAUAUGUUCAAUAAUGAAAACAUUGAGAAGGGGAAAUCGUUUCUUUAUAUCUUUUUGAAGUAAUCAUUUCACUCAAAUUUAUCCCCUUAUAGAAAAGUGGGAACAGGCAGAGGAGAUCUUCUUCUUCUGUUAUCUCAAGUGGUUAUCAUAACUCAAUUAAGGUUUCCUUGUCUGAAUGUGGAAACAAUUAGUAAAUCUAACAUCAAGACUUAAACUGAGAUAUAUGAGAUUCAAAUUCCCAGCCGUUUCGUUAUUAUCUUGAAGUGCUUUGUUUGUCAGCCCCUUUUGGGAGUUUUGUUAUCAAAAUUCAUUCUAUCCAUCUUAUUUUACUGAAUUCCAUUCUGUCAAUAUUGUGAAACAAAAAAAAAAUAAUAAAUAAAAGAAAUUAAUAAAAUAAACCUUAUAAUCUUUUCAAAAUAUCAUUUCAGGUUGUGGCUUUUGUAUUGGAGGCAUUUUUUGCUGAAAUGGAUCUUGAAACUUCAGAGAAAUGUGAAGAUGCGAUCGGCAAGGUUAGAAAAGAACUUUGGUUUCUAUUGUGAUCAAAGACACAAGUAGUAGUUUAGAUUAAAGAUCAAGAUUUCCCAUAAGUGGGAAAAUGGAAGGGCUCUAUGAUAUAGCUUUCAUAACCUUGAUUCCAAUCCUCAGCCCACAUCAGACAUGAUAAGGCAUCUCCAAAAAUAUAAGAUUAAAGGAUAAAACACUGUAGAAACAAUUUAAUGGGCCUUAACUUGAUAAAGAAAUUGUACUCUUAAACUGAGUUGGACUACUUAUCCUGAUACUGGCCAAACUAACAGCUCCAUGGACUCUGAAAUAUCAAAGCUUAAUAAAGAAUUUUGUGCUUUGAUUGAAAGGGGGCACUACUAUAAGUCUAUAUGUUAAAAUCAAAUAAUAUCUAUCAUCAUCUCAAAAGAAAUUUACCCUUCUUGUUCACCUCUUCAAGAUUCUUGUCAAUAUUCAGAUAUUAUAUUCUGCAUAAGUACUUAUAUACAGUAAAGUAAUGGUUGGUACAGUUGAUUUAUCAUCAUCAAGUUCCCCAGGGAAAAGAAUGACUCCUGUUUCCAGUAACAUUUCGUGUCUGUAGAAUGUCAUGUCAUGUAAUCAUAUUCAUUUUUGAUGAUUUUCCAAAUAAAAUGUUACCAUCUCGUUUUGAAUUAUGGGGUUGGUGGAGUAAACAAACUUUUGAACUUGAUUGAGCUUUGGGUUGCUGUUAUUUGGACAUAACUACAUUAAUGUAUGUGGGCUUGUUGUCAGCUUGUAGUUCAUGGAUUUGUAUAUAUGAUUUACCUUACAGCCAUUUGUACAUACUUUUGUAUCGAUAUUUUUGUACUACUAAAUAACUUGUAUUCCUUCACAAUCCAGGAUGAAAGUCAAAAGGAGCGACGUAAUGUAGGGUAUGUGUAACUGACUUCUCAGAAACUUUCCCUUUACGAAUUUAGAAUGAAGCUUGAUCGGAAUCAACAUUUUCCUUUUUUCCCUCAAAUUUUGCAGCACAAAGACGAGGAGUCAGAGAGUUGAUAUGCUUCUCCACCAUAUGUUGAGUGCUGAGCUGGGGAAGACACAGUUCUCCUCCCCGUAAACUUGGUCCAUUUCUUAUCCUUGCUAGUAAUUUCUUGAGAGCUCUUCAAUUUUGCUUUAUUUUUACUGUCAGAAUAUCUUGGGGAAUUCCUUAAGAUCUUCACGGCCUUUACUUGACCCUAAGAAAUAUUAAUCACCUCAUGUUCUUGGACACAGCUGAAUUUGAGGACACAUUGGAACUAUUUUUCUUCAUGUCAUCUUUAUCUAGAAUUACUCGCAUGCUAGGAUAAGCAGUUGAUGUACGUAAUGACAUGUUAGUGUACUCUACAGCCUAUUGAUUUUGGAACCACAACCACAUGACAGUUUUAAGUUAUUUGUGUCAUUUGAAUUAAGCAUGUGAAUAUCAUCUUGGGCCCACAUUCUUAUUCAUAAAAUGACUUUUCAUUAUCUAGCAUAUGAUUGGUAGAAAGUCAAAGUUAGCCUUGAUGGUGGAUCUGACAUUUAGUUGGCAUCCAUCGUUAGUGCACGUCACGUUUCAGGUCCACUAGGGGGAUUUGGGACGGGUUGUGAGCCUGACAUAUAAUAUAUUUUAAGUUGGCAACUGAAUAAAUUAUCACUGUUGGCUCUUAUUGAUGCUUUUGUUUUGAAAUUAUAAUAGGUUCCUCCAACAAGAACAAAGGAAAAAUUAAGCAUUCUGGAGAUUGUUUAGCAGUUUUAGAGAUUUCCAUCGUUGUUGGUCUCGCAUUUCAGAAUGAUAAAAUAUUGGUUCCACUACAUUUUCUGGACUAAUACAUUUAUUUUCUACCAGCAUUCUUUUCUUUAUAUCCUUUUGAAUUGUUGAAGAGAACCCUCCUUCCCUGCUCCAACUACUAUUCUCCUACUCAGAACUAUUAAUUUCAACUCGUUCUUUUGAUGGGCUACAAUUUUUUUGGGUUUCUUUUGGCAGUUUGUAUGUGCGUUAUGUGGAUUGAAAAUGUGAAGGAAUACAGUCUACUGAUUAUGAUUUUGAAUUGGAUUGAAAAUGUGAAUUAAUCUUGA